GGGAAUGUAGCUUAUUGGUAGAGUACUUGCCUACCAUGCAUGAAGCCCUGGGUUCAAUUCCUCAGUACCA
This 70-nucleotide transfer RNA is filed under the name Dipodomys ordii (Ord's kangaroo rat). It matches the Rfam family "tRNA". Rfam says of the family: Transfer RNA (tRNA) molecules are approximately 80 nucleotides in length. Their secondary structure includes four short double-helical elements and three loops (D, anti-codon, and T loops). The record is from Rfam by way of RNAcentral. Lineage: Eukaryota; Metazoa; Chordata; Mammalia; Rodentia; Heteromyidae.